GAGGGUAUAGCUCAGUGGUAGAGUGCAUGCCCAUCAUGCACGAGGUCCUGGGUUCAAUUCCCAGUACCUCCA
RNAcentral lists this transfer RNA (72 nucleotides) under Camelus bactrianus (Bactrian camel). It matches the Rfam family "tRNA". From Rfam's summary of the family: Transfer RNA (tRNA) molecules are approximately 80 nucleotides in length. Their secondary structure includes four short double-helical elements and three loops (D, anti-codon, and T loops). RNAcentral also lists the same sequence under 2 other names. Lineage: Eukaryota; Metazoa; Chordata; Mammalia; Artiodactyla; Camelidae. The record is from Rfam by way of RNAcentral.